UUCUUUGCCUGUAUCACCCUGCAUGCUCCUGAUUUGGUCUGGUUUGGGACGCUAAGCAGGGCCAGGCAGAUUAGCACUUGGAUGGGAGAAAAAUGCCGCUCUGACAGAGAGCAACACGGACAGAGGAA
Ribosomal RNA from Cricetulus griseus (Chinese hamster), 128 nucleotides. The record is from Ensembl. Lineage: Eukaryota; Metazoa; Chordata; Mammalia; Rodentia; Cricetidae.